This 1091-nucleotide ribosomal RNA is filed under the name Escherichia coli. Its description in RNAcentral is "partial 23S ribosomal RNA". It matches the Rfam family "Bacterial large subunit ribosomal RNA", at positions 1 to 1123 of the family's 2925-position model. The record is from RNAcentral. Lineage: Bacteria; Pseudomonadati; Pseudomonadota; Gammaproteobacteria; Enterobacterales; Enterobacteriaceae.
GGGUUGUGAGGUUAAGCGACUAAGCGUACACGGUGGAUGCCCUGGCAGUCAGAGGCGAUGAAGGACGUGCUAAUCUGCGAUAAGCGUCGGUAAGGUGAUAUGAACCGUUAUAACCGGCGAUUUCCGAAUGGGGAAACCCAGUGUGAUUCGUCACACUAUCAUUAACUGAAUCCAUAGGUUAAUGAGGCGAACCGGGGGAACUGAAACAUCUAAGUACCCCGAGGAAAAGAAAUCAACCGAGAUUCCCCCAGUAGCGGCGAGCGAACGGGGAGCAGCCCAGAGCCUGAAUCAGUGUGUGUGUUAGUGGAAGCGUCUGGAAAGGCGCGCGAUACAGGGUGACAGCCCCGUACACAAAAAUGCACAUACUGUGAGCUCGAUGAGUAGGGCGGGACACGUGGUAUCCUGUCUGAAUAUGGGGGGACCAUCCUCCAAGGCUAAAUACUCCUGACUGACCGAUAGUGAACCAGUACCGUGAGGGAAAGGCGAAAAGAACCCCGGCGAGGGGAGUGAAAAAGAACCUGAAACCGUGUACGUACAAGCAGUGGGAGCACGCUUAGGCGUGUGACUGCGUACCUUUUGUAUAAUGGGUCAGCGACUUAUAUUCUGUAGCAAGGUUAACCGAAUAGGGGAGCCGAAGGGAAACCGAGUCUUAACUGGGCGUUAAGUUGCAGGGUAUAGACCCGAAACCCGGUGAUCUAGCCAUGGGCAGGUUGAAGGUUGGGUAACACUAACUGGAGGACCGAACCGACUAAUGUUGAAAAAUUAGCGGAUGACUUGUGGCUGGGGGUGAAAGGCCAAUCAAACCGGGAGAUAGCUGGUUCUCCCCGAAAGCUAUUUAGGUAGCGCCUCGUGAAUUCAUCUCCGGGGGUAGAGCACUGUUUCGGCAAGGGGGUCAUCCCGACUUACCAACCCGAUGCAAACUGCGAAUACCGGAGAAUGUUAUCACGGGAGACACACGGCGGGUGCUAACGUCCGUCGUGAAGAGGGAAACAACCCAGACCGCCAGCUAAGGUCCCAAAGUCAUGGUUAAGUGGGAAACGAUGUGGGAAGGCCCAGACAGCCAGGAUGUUGGCUUAGAAGCAGCCAUCAUU